RNAcentral lists this small nuclear RNA (107 nucleotides) under Phocoena sinus (vaquita). Lineage: Eukaryota; Metazoa; Chordata; Mammalia; Artiodactyla; Phocoenidae. The record is from RNAcentral. RNAcentral also lists the same sequence under 1 other name.
GUGCUCGCCUUGGCAACACAUAUAUUAAAAUUGGAAGGAUACAGAGAAGAUUAGCAUGGCCCCUGCACAAGGAAGACCCACAAAUUCGUGAAGUGUUUGAUAUUUUU